This 473-nucleotide ribosomal RNA is filed under the name Gammarus lacustris. RNAcentral's name for it is "partial 16S ribosomal RNA". Lineage: Eukaryota; Metazoa; Arthropoda; Malacostraca; Amphipoda; Gammaridae. The record is from RNAcentral.
AAAGAGUAAGAAACUUUAGUGUGUGUACCUUUUGUAUCAGGGGAAGUUAAAAGUGUAAGUAAUAAAGGAUCGAUUUAAGCAGAGCUUCAUACAAAAUAGCUAUAGUUAAAUUUAUAGCUUUAAUAGAUUAUGUGGUGAAAAAUGUACGGUGCUUAUGGUAACUAUUUGUUUUUUUAUUGAAGGGUAAGCUUUCAUUGACUUAAUUGUGUAAAAGGUAUAGGGAAUUAGGCUUUGUAUUAGCCAGAUUAUUAAAUUGUUUUAAAUAACCUAAUAGUGUAAUAUAAAUCUUAAGGUUAAAAGACUCGGCCUAUUAACUUGGGUAGGCCUGAAUAAUGAGUUUAUUGAAUAUAAGAUGAAAUACUUAAAUAACUCAAAGUAAGUUAGAAUGUUUAGCAAAAACAUUUUCUUUUGAUGUAAGUAAGAUAAGACCUGCCCGGUGAUUUUUAACGGCUGCGGUAUUUUGACUGUGCUAA